Molecule: transfer RNA, 87 nt
Filed under: Clostridia bacterium
Lineage: Bacteria; Bacillati; Bacillota; Clostridia
Description: tRNA-Leu
Rfam family: tRNA
About the family: Transfer RNA (tRNA) molecules are approximately 80 nucleotides in length.
Source: RNAcentral
GCGGAUAUGGCGGAAUAGGCAGACGCGUUAGAUUCAGGUUCUAAUGAAGGCAACUUCGUGCAGGUUCAACUCCUGUUAUCCGCACCA